GACGAACGCUGGCGGCGUGCUUAACACAUGCCAGUCGAACGGAAAGGCCCUGCUUUUGUGGGGUGCUCGAGUGGCGAACGGGUGAGUAACACGUGAGUAACCUGCCCUUGACUUUUGGAUAACUUCAGGAAACUGGGGCUAAUACCGGAUAGGAGCUCCUGCUGCAUGGUGGGGGUUGGAAAGUUUCGGCGGUUGGGGAUGGACUCGCGGCUUAUCAGCUUGUUGGUGGGGUAGUGGCUUACCAAGGCUUUGACGGGUAGCCGGCCUGAGAGGGUGACCGGCCACAUUGGGACUGAGAUACGGCCCAGACUCCUACGGGAGGCAGCAGUGGGGAAUAUUGCACAAUGGGCGGAAGCCUGAUGCAGCAACGCCGCGUGCGGGAUGACGGCCUUCGGGUUGUAAACCGCUUUCGCCUGUGACGAAGCGUGAGGGACGGUAAUGGGUAAAGAAGCACCGGCUAACUAAGU
This 467-nucleotide ribosomal RNA is filed under the name uncultured bacterium. RNAcentral describes it as "partial 16S ribosomal RNA". It matches the Rfam family "Bacterial small subunit ribosomal RNA", at positions 28 to 506 of the family's 1533-position model. The record is from RNAcentral.